ACCCAAAGUUGACGAGUCCCAAAUAGGACGAAACGCACGUCAAACUGGAU
RNAcentral lists this non-coding RNA (50 nucleotides) under Schistosoma margrebowiei. Lineage: Eukaryota; Metazoa; Platyhelminthes; Trematoda; Strigeidida; Schistosomatidae. The record is from RNAcentral.